Molecule: non-coding RNA, 30 nt
Filed under: Mus musculus (house mouse)
Lineage: Eukaryota; Metazoa; Chordata; Mammalia; Rodentia; Muridae
Source: RNAcentral
UNGGUGCGUUGGCCGCUCCUGGUGCCAGGA